CUCCUACGGGAAGCAGCAGUGGGGAAUUUUGGACAAUGGGCGAAAGCCUGAUCCAGCAAUGCCGCGUGAGUGAAGAAGGCCUUCGGGUUGUAAAGCUCUUUUGUCAGGGAAGAAACGGUGAAGGCUAAUAUCCUUCGCUAAUGACGGUACCUGAAGAAUAAGCACCGGCUAAC
RNAcentral lists this ribosomal RNA (173 nucleotides) under uncultured bacterium. Its description in RNAcentral is "partial 16S ribosomal RNA". It matches the Rfam family "Bacterial small subunit ribosomal RNA", at positions 336 to 501 of the family's 1533-position model. The record is from RNAcentral.